UAGGCAGCAGUCGAGAAUUUUUCUCAAUGGGGGGAACCCUGAAGGAGCGACGCCGCGUGGAGGAUGAAGGUCUUCGGGUUGUAAACUCCUGUCAUUUGGGAACAAGUGCCGGUACGUAACUGCUACCGGCUUGAUAGUACCAGAAGAGGAAGGGACGGCUAACUCUGUGCCAGCAGCCGCGGUAAUACAGAGGUCCCAAGCGUUGUUCGGAUUCAUUGGGCGUAAAGGGUGUGUAGGUGGCGCCGUAAGUCGGGUGUGAAAUUUCGGAGCUUAACUCCGAAACUGCAUUCGAUACUGCGGUGCUUGAGGACUGGAGAGGAGACUGGAAUUCAUGGUGUAGCAGUGAAAUGCGUAGAGAUCAUGAGGAAGACCAGUGGCGAAGGCGGGUCUCUGGACAGUUCCUGACACUGAGACACGAAGGCCAGGGGAGCAAACGGGAUUAGAUACCCCGGUAGUCCUGGCAGUAAACGGUGCACGUUUGGUGUGGGAGGAUUCGACCCCUUCUGCGCCGGAGCUAACGCGUUAAACGUGCCGCCUGGGGAGUACGGUCGCAAGAUUAAAACUCAAAGAAAUUGACGGGGGCCCGCACAAGCGGUGGAGUAUGUGGCUUAAUUCGAUGCAACGCGAAGAACCUUACCUGGCCUUGACAUGCAUCUCUAAGCUGGUGAAAGCCAGUGACUCCCGAAAGGGAGAAUUUGCACAGGUGCUGCAUGGCUGUCGUCAGCUCGUGUCGUGAGAUGUUGGGUUAAGUCCCGCAACGAGCGCAACCCCUGUGAACUGUUGCCACCAAGCCGAGAGGCUUGAGCACUCUGUUCAGACUGCCCUGUGAAACGGGGAGGAAGGUGGGGACGACGUCAAGUCAGUAUGGGCCCUUACGGCCAGGGCUGCACACGUACUAC
RNAcentral lists this ribosomal RNA (899 nucleotides) under uncultured bacterium. Its description in RNAcentral is "bacterial SSU rRNA". It matches the Rfam family "Bacterial small subunit ribosomal RNA", at positions 345 to 1228 of the family's 1533-position model. The record is from RNAcentral.